RNAcentral lists this ribosomal RNA (410 nucleotides) under uncultured bacterium. Its description in RNAcentral is "bacterial SSU rRNA". It matches the Rfam family "Bacterial small subunit ribosomal RNA", at positions 402 to 809 of the family's 1533-position model. The record is from RNAcentral.
UGCAGGAUGAAGGUCCUAUGGAUUGUAAACUGCUUUUGUACGGGAAGAAACCCCUCCUCGUGAGGAGGGCUGACGGUACCGUAAGAAUAAGGAUCGGCUAACUCCGUGCCAGCAGCCGCGGUAAUACGGAGGAUCCGAGCGUUAUCCGGAAUCAUUGGGUUUAAAGGGUCCGUAGGUGGCCUUGUAAGUCAGUGGUGAAAUCUCACGGCUCAACCGUGAAAUGGCCAUUGAUACUGCGGGGCUUGAAUUAUCGGGAAGCAGCUAGAAUAUGUAGUGUAGCGGUGAAAUGCUUAGAUAUUACAUGGAAUACCGAUUGCGAAGGCAGGCUGCUACCGGUGGAUUGACGCUGAUGGACGAAAGCGUGGGGAGCGAACAGGAUUAGAUACCCUGGUAGUCCACGCCGUAAACGA